AGUCUUCUGAACCCGUACCGAGAUUUCGUCAGAAAUCAGAACAUCAGCACUGAUGAGACUCCCAAGAUAAGUGAAUUG
This 78-nucleotide microRNA precursor is filed under the name Schistosoma margrebowiei. RNAcentral describes it as "mir-3492 microRNA precursor family". It matches the Rfam family "mir-3492 microRNA precursor family". The record is from Rfam by way of RNAcentral. Lineage: Eukaryota; Metazoa; Platyhelminthes; Trematoda; Strigeidida; Schistosomatidae.